Small nucleolar RNA from Alnus glutinosa, 81 nucleotides. RefSeq annotates it as small nucleolar RNA U31b. The record is from RefSeq and is a predicted model, not a curated record. Lineage: Eukaryota; Viridiplantae; Streptophyta; Magnoliopsida; Fagales; Betulaceae. The transcript has a single exon.
GGAAAUGAUGAUAGUUUUUUGUCGCCCCAGUCUUAUUUGCAUCUCAUGAUGCAAGAUGGUGAUUGACACAUUAUCUGAUUC